GGAAGCCUCGUACUUAUAUAACAAUCUGCCUUAGGCAGGUAACACUCGUCUGUUGCUGGAAGCAAAUCUCCUGCGGGAGUUAAUCAGCUGUCAUAGGACUGUUCCUUGUGACCCACAGAUCAAACACGAGUGGCCUAUUGCUGCCGUUGUGAGACGGCGGACGGUUGAGAUAUGACCGAUAGCAGCUCUGUCAGGAGUUUGAUAACUAGUUCCGUAGGUGAACCUGCGGAAGGAUCAUUA
Molecule: ribosomal RNA, 240 nt
Filed under: Xanthoparmelia pulla
Lineage: Eukaryota; Fungi; Ascomycota; Lecanoromycetes; Lecanorales; Parmeliaceae
Description: partial 18S ribosomal RNA
Source: RNAcentral